UGAAAAUCUAACGAGAGAUAUGGCUCGAAUGCCAGAUUCAGGUUCUGAAGAUUUUAGCUUGAGUUUUGAGGACCAAAUGCUUCAUGAAUUUAUCAAACAAAGACAGGGCAUUUCAGAAUUGAUCGAACAUCCUUUGAUAGAACAAGGCUCGAUCAGCAAUAGCGUUAUGGAGAUGACUGAAGUGAAUAUCAGGAAGAAAACGAAAGCCAGACAACCAACGAUAGCAAGUUGUAAAAUAUUGACAAAGGGAACUGAGGACUACAGUAAUGACAAGUCCAUUUUCAGUGUAUUAAACGAGCCUACAAUCA
RNAcentral lists this unclassified non-coding RNA (308 nucleotides) under Hevea brasiliensis (rubber tree). The record is from RNAcentral. Lineage: Eukaryota; Viridiplantae; Streptophyta; Magnoliopsida; Malpighiales; Euphorbiaceae.